UUUUUUUUUUUUUUUUUAUAGCUUCCUUACCUUAAGUGCCUCCCCAUCGCCCCUCCAAACUUAAUGAAAAACACCCAUUCUUACGUGCAUGGGUGUGCCUGGCAUGUGUGCACACCCCCCACACCCACCCACAGACACGCAGGCACACCCUGAAGUUCUCCUGAGACACAAGUGACCAGUGCCAGUGGGAUCUGGCCAUGCGUCAGAGCCUGUUUUAAGAUGGAAAUGACUACUUUCCUCCACCUUCUUGGGACCGUGUGGCUCUCUGCCCAAGACGUAGGUGUCUUCUCUGAUAAACUACUGCAGCUGGGAGAGCUGUAUGUCGCAGAGCCAUCUCAACCAUAGAUGUCUUGCUAGCCCCUAGAACUCCCGUGGAUGACAAAGCCAGAGUGAGGCAGCAAGCCGGGCGGAAUAAACACAGUUUAAUAAGUUUUGUUUCCCACCUCAAAGGACAGAGAGCAGACGACCAGUAAGGAAGUUCUCCAAAUUAGGGUUUUGAACCCAAGUUCUUGAAAGACUCAUCAGGAUGCCUUUAUGAACAGGAGCCUGGUCUCACCUAAAUCCUAGCUGUGACUGCCUUCCUACCCUCCUGUCUACUUUUAAAUGGAGGCAGUCAGACAUACCUUUCUCCUGAUUUUGUCUUGAAGGCAAGAUGAAUAUAUGCAAACAAAGAGCCAAGCGAGUAUUACGUUACCACAUUUGUAAUAGAUCUGUCCCAGGUAGAGGAGGGAGGUAGAACACCCAGGGCAAACACGUUCUGCUCUGUGCCAGAAUGUUCUCUUCCCUCUCGAUAGAAAGGAUCCCCUGGAUGGCUAGGAUUUCUUGGUCCAGGCAUUACAUCCAGUGCAAUGAUCCUUCAGUUUGACCAUGUGUUAAUCAUAAUAAAUUUCAGGUACUGGAAAAUCCUGCACAGGGUCGCCCUGUGGAUCAUGGGCUAGCUCAUCCUGACGCUAGGUCCAGUGCAGUCUCGGGACGACCACCAGCACAGGGUCCCCUCGAGGCCUUGUUAAAGAUUCAGACAGUUGUCCCGCUCCCCCCAGACCAACUGAAUAAAAAUCUCUGAUGCAGGAGGCCUAGGACUGUGCAUUUUUUACAGCACACUGACAUUUGGGACUUGCUCAAGAUUUGGAGGCCCUUCUCUGGAAACCCAGGAGCAAGAGAUCUGACUGCACAUUCUGUCCCUGCUCUAACAUGUGGUUUCCAAGCAGAGGUUCAUUUUCUUAGGUUGGUCUUCAUAUUUUCCAGCCUCAUUCCUACAGCAUUCCUGGUUACAUCGUAGACAAUAGCCAGUCCACCAGGACUUAACAUGUCUGUAACUAUAACUACACCCCAAUCUAUUUUGAAGAUUCAAUCUUUCCUAACCUUGGUUGUCAGUGGCUGCAACAAUUACACUGGUAUUCAAACAUGUGACUUCCUCCUUAGGUCAGAAAGAAAACAUUUAAGGUUUCCUCAGUCCCCUUGCCAUGACUCUGCAGGAAGACCUCAACAUAAUGGGGAUGAUGCACCUCCUUUCAUGAACAUGAAAGUUGCUUUCUAUGGACCAGUCCUUCACAGCUAAUUUCCUGAAGUUGCUAAAGAUGAACUGGAUUUUGGCUUUUCAGGCCGAAAAGCUCAAGAUGAACUUUGAGCACCUGACAUAAGGUAAUCCUCCAGGAGUUACAAGGGUGAUGUAGGGAAGAGCAAUAGUGCCAGCCAGUGUUCAAAACCCUUAUUAUCGUCGAUCUGUGUGACCAAGUUAGUUUGGCUAAAUGCCAACUAAUGAAGCCAAGGACAUGGUUUGCAUCUUUUGUAGGCCAGUAGGCUUCAAUCACUUUCUCUUGUGGACUAUUCAUCUUGAAAAUGCCAACCAAAGGAAUCUGAGUAAUAGCGUGAGGAAUAGGGUGAAAUAACCCUAGGUCUGAUGUCCUUUGAUGACAAAUCAGAAGGCUCUUCUUUAGGCCCUAAAGAGACAAGUGGUAUACAUGGCAUGAUUCCAAUCCAGACAGAAUCCCUUUUAGACUGUUUUGAAAUAUAAUUUGCUCAUUAUAACCCAAGCUGACUCCUUAAUUCUACCAUUUCCCCAGAAGUAGACUUUUCUAGAAUAAAACUGGUGUCUCUCUGUGGGGUGACUUACUGGGUCCCCUGCAGGCUGGCCACUCUAAUGCACCUGGAUCAAGGUGUCCCAGGAACUACUUCCUCCCUUUCUAGGAUAUAACAUCUCCCUUUUGGGUCAUCCCGUCUCUCCUGGCUCCAGAUCCUGGAGUCCGAGACUGGAGAUGGCAACAUAGAGAAGCCAGCAGAGUGUCCCCAUCACCUGUGCCUUCCCAAGGACCCAGUGAACAGACCAGGGGGUGACCGGUGAGUUGUAAGAUGGAAGAAGGGAAGGGAAACAUGAGGUUUAAACCUUAAUCUCUGAAUUCUUUUGUUCAUAAUACUAAUAGCUAGCAUUUAUGAGUAUUCAACUUGGCGUUGGCCCUGGGGGCGAGUGCUUCAGUGCAUUACCUUAUCCUCAUAGUCCUCUGUCUCUGUCUCCAACCACCAGACUAGAGCUCUAAAAAGUUUCCAUUUCCUUACCCUCUUCCACACGCACACUGGGUAGCAGGGUUCUGAGGAUCAGAUCAAAAAUAAAAGGAGACUCAUGAAAGAUACUCGUGUGUCCAAAGAGGAAGGGGAGAGGUCCAGUGAAGGGGGUUUAAUGUCAGAGAGAGAAACUGUACAUCUGGGGCAGAGAUGACAAGAGCGAGCCAGGCCAGCCAAGCCUGACCAGGCCACUCAUCCUGUCAUUCGGGGGGUCUCCACGGUGAAGGAAGUGAGAACAGCAGCAUCCCGUUUCCUCUCCUUGUGGGAGCACAGUGCAGCACUCGGACCAGUUACGCUCCUGGCUCUCUGCAGCUCGGGCACAAAUAUUCAGUUCGUGUUCUCUCCUAACAUGUCAGGCUAAUUGACCCCUGUGCUCUUCAGCGCAGGAAGCUGGUGGCAGGAGCCAGUGAGCUGUGGAGGGAAAAUAAUUCUCGCUGGACAGACAGGCCUGGGGGUCUGGGGAGGUGAGGGUCCCUUUGUGGUCACCUGUCAGAGAUGACAUCGGGCCUCUUCUCAUUCCUGUAACUCUGGGUUCUGCCGGGAUGCACCCGAGUGAAAGGGUAAGAAAGCACUGGACCCUUUUACGGAACCAAGCAGUAUUUUGGACAAGACCCUGAAGACAUGAUGGUGUAAGCUGACUUCCUGCCACCUUGCACAGGGCCUCCUGGCCUCAUGAUGGGGGUCACAGGGCAGCCAUCCAGCCAACAAAGACUCCAGACAUCCAGACAAAACCAUCUUCUCCAUCUAAUCGCCACUCGUCUUCUUAAGGCCAUAGUGGGUAGGCAGUGAAUAUCCCCAAGUCCCUACAUCCUGAGAGUCCUCGGCAGAGGGAGGGGGAGAAGCCCCUUGCCCCAUCUGCCGGGAGUAGAGAACCAGCAAAGUUCAAUCCUCAAAGAUCUCCAGCAUCUCUUAAAUAAGCUUUUCCUUUCCAUUUUCUUCUUUUAAUUAUUUAUCAUCCAUCCAUUUCUUUAUACAAAUAUAUAAUAGAUUUAUAUAGAUUUAUAUAAUAUAAACUUUGUG
RNAcentral lists this long non-coding RNA (3579 nucleotides) under Canis lupus familiaris (dog). RNAcentral's name for it is "lncRNA (ENSCAFG00000051107.1)". Lineage: Eukaryota; Metazoa; Chordata; Mammalia; Carnivora; Canidae. The record is from RNAcentral.